GGGCGUGUGGCCCAGUUGGUAGAGCGUUCCCUUAGCAUACGUGGAAGAUAUUCUCACUGUAUGCGAAAGGCCCUGGGUUCGAUUCCCAGCUCGUCCA
Molecule: non-coding RNA, 97 nt
Organism: Lasiosphaeria hispida
Lineage: Eukaryota; Fungi; Ascomycota; Sordariomycetes; Sordariales; Lasiosphaeriaceae
Source: the annotation of a GenBank genome assembly